CGUACACUCCUACGGGAGGCAGCAGUGGGGAAUAUUGGACAAUGGGCGCAAGCCUGAUCCAGCCAUGCCGCGUGAGUGAUGAAGGCCCUAGGGUUGUAAAGCUCUUUCACCGGUGAAGAUAAUGACGGUAACCGGAGAAGAAGCCCCGGCUAACUUCGUGCCAGCAGCCGCGGUAAUACGAAGGGGGCUAGCGUUGUUCGGAUUUACUGGGCGUAAAGCGCACGUAGGCGGACUAUUAAGUCAGGGGUGAAAUCCCGGGGCUCAACCCCGGAACUGCCUUUGAUACUGGUAGUCUUGAGUUCGAGAGAGGUGAGUGGAAUUCCGAGUGUAGAGGUGAAAUUCGUAGAUAUUCGGAGGAACACCAGUGGCGAAGGCGGCUCACUGGCUCGAUACUGACGCUGAGGUGCGAAAGCGUGGGGAGCAAACAGGAUUAGAUACCCUAGUAGUCCCAUGA
This 454-nucleotide ribosomal RNA is filed under the name uncultured organism. RNAcentral's name for it is "partial 16S ribosomal RNA". It matches the Rfam family "Bacterial small subunit ribosomal RNA", at positions 330 to 800 of the family's 1533-position model. The record is from RNAcentral.